GAUGUACUCCGCUGCUUAAGAACAGGAAAAGGAGAGCUGGGGACAGCUGGCCAUGUGGUUUCUUGGAAAAGCAGGAUAAACAGUGAUGACAGCAUGAGCCCUGGAUUCUGACAGCUUAUGUCAGAUUCCUACUCUGUUCACUUACCAGAAGUCUCCUGUUACACUGAAGCUCUGUCCAGACGAUUCUAAAAAUAGCCCGAUGGAAUCCUGUGGUUGGAAGAAACUGUGAGAGGUCACUGAGUCCGUCCCUCGCCUGCAGAAGGGCACUGGCGUGCAGUCCAGCGUCGGUGCUAUUGGAUACCCCAGAGCCAGGCCAACAGGGAACGGGUCUGAGGCCACUGGCAUGGCUGGCAUCUUGGUCUAAUAAUAAUCAGGUGAACUGCUUAAUAGUUCUCAUCUUACCAAACGCCAGCUCCUCCCUCCUUAUAGGAUGAUUCCUCUGAUCUACCCAAUAACUUCACUCCUUAGAGUGGCCCCUCUUUCUCUGCUGCCUUGAUACCUCUCUCUCUCUCUCCUGAAUCAUUCCCAUUCACCAAGAAAACACACAUGAAAACAUCCCCUUCUCUCACACCCCCCAGCCACACCCCCACCUCCCUGUUCCCAUCAUACCCAAAUGACUUCUCUGCCCACUGCCGAAACUCUUGUCUUCGUGGCACCACUGAAAUGACCUCUCUCAGGCCCCCCAGUGACUGCCCUGCUCCCCAAGUCCAAGACUCGUGCUUUCUCUUAAGGUCUUUGGAUCUGACCACUCCCUCCUCUUCGACUUGGCUUCUGGAACAACCCAUCUGCUGGUUUCCUUCCUCCUUCCCUGUCCCCAUCUGCUUAGCCUCUUCUAUCCAACUUCAAAAGUUGGGGCAGGGCUUCCCUGGUGGCUCAGUGGUAAAGAGGCUGCCUGCCAAUGCGGGAGACACAAGUUCAAUCCCCGAUCCAGGAAGAGCCCAUGUGUCAUGGAGUGACUAAGCCCGUGUGCCACAACUACUGGACCCACAUGCAGCAAACACUGAAGCCCACGCACUCCGGAGCCUGCACUCCACAACAAGAGAAAUCACCGCAGUGAGAGGCCUGUGCACUGCCACUGCAGAGUAGCCCCCACUGGCUACAGCUAAAGUCUGCACAGCCCCACAUAUAGAAAUAAGUAAAAACA
Long non-coding RNA from Bos taurus (domestic cattle), 1144 nucleotides. NCBI's taxonomy places the organism in Eukaryota, Metazoa, Chordata, Mammalia, Artiodactyla, Bovidae. The record is from Ensembl.